Molecule: unclassified non-coding RNA, 585 nt
Filed under: Hevea brasiliensis (rubber tree)
Lineage: Eukaryota; Viridiplantae; Streptophyta; Magnoliopsida; Malpighiales; Euphorbiaceae
Source: RNAcentral
GAAUUAGCAACAAAGCCUUUAGCCUGCAAGAAAAGUAGAAAAUCAAGUUCAACACUUCAAAAAUUCAUGAUCAGCUAUUUAACAUGUUCUGAGUGGUAAGCAGUUUAGCCUUAGGUUAAUGAACAAAUCAGCAAUUCUUUUUGUUGCCAUGCAUUCUUUCAAAGAAUAUCAAGUUAAACAUCUAAUUAUUUCCACCGGCUUAAGUUGUAAGCAGAUGAAGUGAAAAAUUUUAGAAACGCUACCAUUCUUAGCCUAAGGGAUCUCAAAGACAGCAAGGCAAAGACACAAUUUUAAAAUUCUCCGUUCUCUCCCAUUUUGAGUUUGCAGAUAAACAUAGAUUGAUGAAAUACAAUCAAAUACAUACUAACAAUAAUUUGUCGAGAUCAACAGCACCCAAGUGAUGUUCCAAUCCAGCAUUUUCAAUCAAAAUUCAAGUAUGAUUUUGGCCAAAGAUUAUCAGAUCGAGAUUAACACAAAGCUAGAAGGUAAACUCUUUCAAAGACUACUAGAGCAUCACAAACUGUAUCAGUUUAUUAUUCCCUCAAUGACUAGUCAAUGACAGUCAUAAAGAUUAUACAGAACUCA